RNAcentral lists this ribosomal RNA (440 nucleotides) under uncultured bacterium. RNAcentral describes it as "partial 16S ribosomal RNA". It matches the Rfam family "Bacterial small subunit ribosomal RNA", at positions 338 to 795 of the family's 1533-position model. The record is from RNAcentral.
CCUACGGGGGGCAGCAGUGGGGAAUAUUGCACAAUGGGGGAAACCCUGAUGCAGCGACGCCGCGUGAGUGAAGAAGUAAUUCGUUAUGUAAAGCUCUAUCAGCAGGGAAGAAAAUGACGGUACCUGUGUAAGAAGCACCGGCUAACUACGUGCCAGCAGCCGCGGUAAUACGGAGGGGGCAAGCGUUAUCCGGAAUAACUGGGCGUAAAGGGAGCGUAGGCGGCAGUGCAAGUCUGGAGUGAAAGGCGGGGGCUCAACCCCGGGACUGCUCUGGAAACUGUACGGCUGGAGUGCAGGAGAGGUAAGUGGAAUUCCUAGUGUAGCGGUGAAAUGCGUAGAUAUUAGGAGGAACACCAGUGGCGAAGGCGGCUUACUGGACUGUAACUGACGUUGAGGCUCGAAAGCGUGGGGAGCAAACAGGAUUAGAUACCCUAGUAGUC